CCUACGGGUGGCAGCAGUGAGGAAUAUUGGUCAAUGGACGAGAGUCUGAACCAGCCAAGUAGUGUGAAGGAUGACUGCCCUAUGGGUUGUAAACCUCUUUUAUAUGGGAAUAAAACGUUCCACGUGUGGGAUUUUGUAUGUACCAUAUGAAUAAGGAUCGGCUAACUCCGUGCCAGCAGCCGCGGUAAUACGGAGGAUGCGAGCGUUAUCCGGAUUUAUUGGGUUUAAAGGGAGCGUAGGUGGAUUGUUAAGUCAGUUGUGAAAGUUUGGGGCUCAACCGUAAAAUUGCAGUUGAAACUGGCAGUCUUGAGUACAGUAGAGGUGAGCGGAAUUCGUGGUGUAGCGGUGAAAUGCUUAGAUAUCACGAAGAACUCCGAUUGCGAAGGCAGUACACUGGACUGCAACUGACACUGAGGCACGAAAGUGUGGGUAUCGAACAGGAUUAGAUACCCCUGUAGUC
RNAcentral lists this ribosomal RNA (460 nucleotides) under uncultured bacterium. RNAcentral's name for it is "partial 16S ribosomal RNA". It matches the Rfam family "Bacterial small subunit ribosomal RNA", at positions 338 to 795 of the family's 1533-position model. The record is from RNAcentral.